RNAcentral lists this unclassified non-coding RNA (105 nucleotides) under Trypanosoma cruzi. The record is from RNAcentral. Lineage: Eukaryota; Euglenozoa; Kinetoplastea; Trypanosomatida; Trypanosomatidae.
AACGCUAUUAUUGAUACAGUUUCUGUACUAUAUUGGUNACGCGAAGCUUGCAACCCGCCUCUGGUCGUAUGUUUGGUCAAUUUCUUUUGACCGGGGUCUACGGAC